CCUGGCUCAGGAUGAACGCUGGCGGCGUGCCUAACACAUGCAAGUCGAGCGAUUCUCUUCGGAGAAGAGCGGCGGACGGGUGAGUAACGCGUGGGUAACCUGCCCUGUACACACGGAUAACAUACCGAAAGGUAUGCUAAUACGGGAUAAUAUGCUUUAGUCGCAUGGCUGAAGUAUCAAAGCUCCGGCGGUACAGGAUGGACCCGCGUCUGAUUAGCUAGUUGGUGAGGUAAUGGCUCACCAAGGCGACGAUCAGUAGCCGACCUGAGAGGGUGAUCGGCCACAUUGGAACUGAGACACGGUCCAAACUCCUACGGGAGGCAGCAGUGGGGAAUAUUGCACAAUGGGCGAAAGCCUGAUGCAAGCAACGCCGCGUGAGCGAUGAAGGCCUUCGGGUCGUAAAGCUCUGUCCUCAAGGAAGAUAAUGACGGUACUUGAGGAGGAAGCCCCGGCUAACUACGUGCCAGCAGCCGC
RNAcentral lists this ribosomal RNA (474 nucleotides) under uncultured bacterium. Its description in RNAcentral is "bacterial SSU rRNA". It matches the Rfam family "Bacterial small subunit ribosomal RNA", at positions 18 to 518 of the family's 1533-position model. The record is from RNAcentral.